Molecule: ribosomal RNA, 253 nt
Filed under: uncultured bacterium
Lineage: Bacteria
Description: partial 16S ribosomal RNA
Rfam family: Bacterial small subunit ribosomal RNA
Source: RNAcentral
UACGUAGGGUGCAAGCGUUAUCCGGAAUUAUUGGGCGUAAAGAGCUCGUAGGCGGUCUGUCGCGUCGGCUGUGAAAUCCCGAGGCUCAACCUCGGGUCUGCAGUCGAUACGGGCAAACUGGAGUGUUGCAGGGGAGACUGGAAUUCCUGGUGUAGCGGUGAAAUGCGCAGAUAUCAGGAGGAACACCGGUGGCGAAGGCGGGUCUCUGGGCAACAACUGACGCUGAGGAGCGAAAGCGUGGGGAGCGAACAGG